RNAcentral lists this ribosomal RNA (390 nucleotides) under uncultured bacterium. Its description in RNAcentral is "bacterial SSU rRNA". It matches the Rfam family "Bacterial small subunit ribosomal RNA", at positions 30 to 420 of the family's 1533-position model. The record is from RNAcentral.
AUUGAACGCUGGCGGCAUGCCUUACACAUGCAAGUCGAACGGCAGCACGGACUUCGGUCUGGUGGCGAGUGACGAACGGGUGAGUAAUGUAUCGGAACGUACCUUUCAGUGGGGGAUAACGUAGCGAAAGUUACGCUAAUACCGCAUAUUCUGUGAGCAGGAAAGCAGGGGAUCGCAAGACCUUGCGCUGAUUGAGCGGCCGAUAUCAGAUUAGCUAGUUGGUGAGGUAAAGGCUCACCAAGGCGACGAUCUGUAGCGGGUCUGAGAGGAUGAUCCGCCACACUGGAACUGAGACACGGUCCAGACUCCUACGGGAGGCAGCAGUGGGGAAUUUUGGACAAUGGGCGCAAGCCUGAUCCAGCCAUGCCGCGUGAGUGAAGAAGGCCUCGG